Molecule: ribosomal RNA, 400 nt
Filed under: uncultured bacterium
Lineage: Bacteria
Description: bacterial SSU rRNA
Rfam family: Bacterial small subunit ribosomal RNA
Source: RNAcentral
UGGGGAAUAUUGGGCAAUGGAGGAAACUCUGACCCAGCCAUGCCGCGUGAGUGAUGAAGGCCUUAGGGUUGUAAAGCUCUUUUGUCAGGGACGAUGAUGACGGUACCUGAAGAAUAAGCCCCGGCUAACUUCGUGCCAGCAGCCGCGGUAAUACGAAGGGGGCUAGCGUUGUUCGGAAUUACUGGGCGUAAAGCGUGCGCAGGCGGCAUUCCAAGUCAGAGGUGAAAUCCCAGGGCUUAACCCUGGAACUGCCUUUGAAACUAGAGUGCUGGAGUCUUGGAGGGGUUAGGGGAAUUCCUAAUGUAGCAGUGAAAUGCGUAGAUAUUAGGAGGAACACCAGUGGCGAAGGCGCCUAACUGGCCAAGUACUGACGCUCAUGCACGAAAGCGUGGGGAUCAAA